CUUCCGUAGGGGAACCUGCGGAAGGAUCAUUG
Molecule: ribosomal RNA, 32 nt
Filed under: Coriandrum sativum (coriander)
Lineage: Eukaryota; Viridiplantae; Streptophyta; Magnoliopsida; Apiales; Apiaceae
Description: partial 18S ribosomal RNA
Source: RNAcentral